Molecule: ribosomal RNA, 498 nt
Filed under: uncultured bacterium
Lineage: Bacteria
Description: partial 16S ribosomal RNA
Rfam family: Bacterial small subunit ribosomal RNA
Source: RNAcentral
AUUGAACGCUGGCGGCAGGCCUAACACAUGCAAGUCGAGCGGUUGAGGUAGCUUGCUACCGAUGCAGCGGCGGACGGGUGAGUAAUACAUGGGAAUCUGCCUGGUAGUGGGGGACAACGUUUCGAAAGGAACGCUAAUACCGCAUACGCCCUACGGGGGAAAGGGGGGGAUCUUCGGACCUCUCGCUAUCAGAUGAGCCCAUGUCGGAUUAGCUUGUUGGUGGGGUAAAGGCUCACCAAGGCGACGAUCCGUAACUGGUCUGAGAGGAUGAUCAGUCACACUGGAACUGAGACACGGUCCAGACUCCUACGGGAGGCAGCAGUGGGGAAUAUUGGACAAUGGGCGCAAGCCUGAUCCAGCCAUGCCGCGUGUGUAAAGAAGGCCUUAGGGUUGUAAAGCACUUUCAGUGGGGAGAAAGGUCAUUCACCUAAUACGUGAGUGAAUUGAUGUUACCCACAGAAGAAGCACCGGCUAACUCCGUGCCAGCCGCCGCAGUAA